CAGCCGCCGCGGGAAUACGUAGGGUGCAAGCGUUAAUCGGAAUUACUGGGCGUAAAGCGUACGCAGGCGGUUUGUUAAGACAGAUGUGAAAUCCCCGGGCUCAACCUGGGAACUGCAUUUGUGACUGGCAAGCUAGAGUGUGGCAGAGGGGGGUGGGAUUCCGCGUGUAGCAGUGAAAUGCGUAGAUAUGCGGAGGAACACCGAUGGCGAAGGCAGCCCCCUGGGCCAACACUGACGCUCAUGCACGAAAGCGUGGGGAGCAAACAGGAUUAGAUACCCCAGUAGUCCCUGUCUCUUAUAC
Molecule: ribosomal RNA, 301 nt
Filed under: uncultured bacterium
Lineage: Bacteria
Description: partial 16S ribosomal RNA
Rfam family: Bacterial small subunit ribosomal RNA
Source: RNAcentral